RNAcentral lists this ribosomal RNA (727 nucleotides) under Enterococcus faecalis. RNAcentral describes it as "bacterial SSU rRNA". It matches the Rfam family "Bacterial small subunit ribosomal RNA", at positions 768 to 1494 of the family's 1533-position model. Lineage: Bacteria; Bacillati; Bacillota; Bacilli; Lactobacillales; Enterococcaceae. The record is from RNAcentral.
GCAAACAGGAUUAGAUACCCUGGUAGUCCACGCCGUAAACGAUGAGUGCUAAGUGUUGGAGGGUUUCCGCCCUUCAGUGCUGCAGCAAACGCAUUAAGCACUCCGCCUGGGGAGUACGACCGCAAGGUUGAAACUCAAAGGAAUUGACGGGGGCCCGCACAAGCGGUGGAGCAUGUGGUUUAAUUCGAAGCAACGCGAAGAACCUUACCAGGUCUUGACAUCCUUUGACCACUCUAGAGAUAGAGCUUUCCCUUCGGGGACAAAGUGACAGGUGGUGCAUGGUUGUCGUCAGCUCGUGUCGUGAGAUGUUGGGUUAAGUCCCGCAACGAGCGCAACCCUUAUUGUUAGUUGCCAUCAUUUAGUUGGGCACUCUAGCGAGACUGCCGGUGACAAACCGGAGGAAGGUGGGGAUGACGUCAAAUCAUCAUGCCCCUUAUGACCUGGGCUACACACGUGCUACAAUGGGAAGUACAACGAGUCGCUAGACCGCGAGGUCAUGCAAAUCUCUUAAAGCUUCUCUCAGUUCGGAUUGCAGGCUGCAACUCGCCUGCAUGAAGCCGGAAUCGCUAGUAAUCGCGGAUCAGCACGCCGCGGUGAAUACGUUCCCGGGCCUUGUACACACCGCCCGUCACACCACGAGAGUUUGUAACACCCGAAGUCGGUGAGGUAACCUUUUUGGAGCCAGCCGCCUAAGGUGGGAUAGAUGAUUGGGGUGAAGUCGUAACAA